This is a long non-coding RNA of Mytilus californianus (California mussel), 417 nucleotides long. RefSeq lists it as uncharacterized. The record is from RefSeq and is a predicted model, not a curated record. The transcript is spliced from 4 exons. Lineage: Eukaryota; Metazoa; Mollusca; Bivalvia; Mytilida; Mytilidae.
ACUUUCAGUUAAGUCACUAGUCAAGAAAAAGCAAUCAAAAUGAACACAAAAGUCGCCAUUUGUCUGAUCCUUCCCUGUAUCAUCGCACUGGUUUCCUGUGCUUAUUUACCUGGUAACUACGGAUACCAACAACCAAGACAGGUUGCUCCUUAUGCAAACUAUGCUGCCAAUAGUUACCAGGGUCUGAAACAGGCUAGACUUUUCAACUACCUUCUAGGAGGACUAUAUUUCCUGAACCUGUUCAAUUUCACUGGAAACCGAAUUGCUGGUUAAAGCCUGUAUACAGAGUUUGAUGCAGACCAAACUCAGGUGGUACCGGGAUAAUUAGAUGCAGACUAAACUCAGCUGUUACCCGGAUAAAUGCUUUAGUUUAUUUAUUGUGGAUUAUAAAAAUAAAAUUCAAAAUUCAAAAAAUUA